AUUGCCUGCAUCUGUGCAGCCAUAGCAAGAGAGUUACUCGCCAUGUUCGCCAUGCUUUGCUGAGAUGGUGGCGCCUGCAUGGGCUUCGUAGCUACCGUUUGGCCAAGCAAUGUUGGCUGGGAAGGAAGCUUUGGGUCUGGCCUCUGAUCGGUCAUCAACUGCUGUCCCUGGUCUGAUUGUUUCUCGCUACGAGAGAAAAGUUGCUCAGAGGAUAUCUUUGAUGAUGAUGCUUGGGCCUGGUUCGGUGCCUGCAUGGAAACGAGUUCCUGAAUUUUCAUAUUAGCAAGUCUAGGAUCUUGGUCCUUUGCAGAAGGGCCAAACAUUCCCAUUUUCAUUUGCUGCUGAUGUUGCAUCCCA
Molecule: unclassified non-coding RNA, 357 nt
Filed under: Hevea brasiliensis (rubber tree)
Lineage: Eukaryota; Viridiplantae; Streptophyta; Magnoliopsida; Malpighiales; Euphorbiaceae
Source: RNAcentral